This 486-nucleotide ribosomal RNA is filed under the name uncultured bacterium. RNAcentral's name for it is "partial 16S ribosomal RNA". It matches the Rfam family "Bacterial small subunit ribosomal RNA", at positions 30 to 507 of the family's 1533-position model. The record is from RNAcentral.
AUUGAACGCUGGCGGCAUGCCUUACACAUGCAAGUCGAACGGCAGCACGGGUGCUUGCACCUGGUGGCGAGUGGCGAACGGGUGAGUAAUACAUCGGAACAUGUCCUGUAGUGGGGGAUAGCCCGGCGAAAGCCGGAUUCAUACCGCAUACGAUCUACGGAUGAAAGCGGGGGACCUUCGGGCCUCGCGCUAUAGGGUUGGCCGAUGGCUGAUUAGCUAGUUGGUGGGGUAAAGGCCUACCCAGGCGACGAUCAGUAGCUGGUCUGAGAGGACGACCAGCCACACUGGGACUGAGACACGGCCCAGACUCCUACGGGAGGCAGCAGUGGGGAAUGUUGGACAAUGGGCGAAAGCCUGAUCCAGCAAUGCCGCGUGUGUGAAGAAGGCCUUCGGGUUGUAAAGCACUUUUGUCCGGAAAGAAAUCCUUGGCCCUAAUACGGUCGGGGGAUGACGGUACCGGAAGAAUAAGCACCGGCUAACUACGUG